This 526-nucleotide transfer RNA is filed under the name uncultured Prochlorococcus sp. RNAcentral's name for it is "partial 16S-23S ribosomal RNA intergenic spacer". The stretch from base 212 to 284 matches the Rfam family "tRNA". The record is from RNAcentral. Lineage: Bacteria; Bacillati; Cyanobacteriota; Cyanophyceae; Synechococcales; Prochlorococcaceae.
CAGGGAGACAACAAAAUGUUUAAUAUUAUUAUUUUGUCACCUUAGGUCGAUCGGUAUCUCACGUUCUUGAUUUAUUAAGAAUUUCAUUUCCUAAGUUUUUCUAGGUCACACCCAUUAUUUUUCCUGGGCCAUUAGCUCAGGUGGUUAGAGCGCACCCCUGAUAAGGGUGAGGUCCCUGGUUCAAGUCCAGGAUGGCCCAUAUCUCUAUGUUGGGGGUAUAGCUCAGUUGGUAGAGCGCCUGCUUUGCAAGCAGGAUGUCAGCGGUUCGAGUCCGCUUACCUCCACUGAUUACCACCUCUUUCAUAAUCUGAUGAAGGAAAGUUUUGAGUUGUGAUCAAAUUCUGAACGAAUCUAGCUUCCUAAUGAAUUCAUUAAGAUGCUGGACUCAUUGAAUUAACUUCAUUGUUUUCAGAGAACCUUGACAACUGCAUAGAUUUUUUUUAAAGACAAUAAGCAUCUUUUAUGAUGCAGAUUUAUUAUUUGUGCGAAUGCAUUAAAUAACAAUUCUAUUAAGCUGAUGCUUCAA